GCUCUCAUAGCUGAGGCUUCUUGCUCUCACCUCGUGUCCUGUGUCUGUAGCAAACCCAGAACAUCAAGAGAAAGAACAACCAGUUCAAGAAAGCAUCAUUCAGUCUUGGUCUGUGUUAGACCCAGAAGAAUCUGUGAAAUAGGAGCCCACGAGAAACCAGCUUCCUCUGGUUCUGCUGCUGGUGAAACUGCUUUAAUUAUGCCACUAGAACCAACUCUCUGCUUGGAACACAGGUGGAGAAAAUAGAUGGGGAAAAGUAAAGAAAAGAGCAGCGGCGCUGUGAGUUCAGUUCAUGAUAUCACCAAUGAGAAACUCCGUGCUCUGCUGUGGGGUUUUUCAG
Molecule: long non-coding RNA, 340 nt
Filed under: Zonotrichia albicollis (white-throated sparrow)
Lineage: Eukaryota; Metazoa; Chordata; Aves; Passeriformes; Passerellidae
Description: lncRNA (ENSZALG00000001182.1)
Source: RNAcentral